This 378-nucleotide ribosomal RNA is filed under the name uncultured organism. Its description in RNAcentral is "partial 16S ribosomal RNA". It matches the Rfam family "Bacterial small subunit ribosomal RNA", at positions 527 to 896 of the family's 1533-position model. The record is from RNAcentral.
GUAGGUGGCAAGCGUUGUCCGGAAUUAUUGGGCGUAAAGCGCGCGCAGGCGGUUCUUUAAGUCUGAUGUGAAAGCCCACGGCUCAACCGUGGAGGGUCAUUGGAAACUGGAGAACUUGAGUACAGAAGAGGAAAGCGGAAUUCCACGUGUAGCGGUGAGAUGCGUAGAGAUGUGGAGGAACACCAGUGGCGAAGGCGGCUUUCUGGUCUGUAACUGACGCUGAGGCGCGAAAGCGUGGGGGGAGCAAACAGGAUUAGAUACCCUGGUAGUCCACGCCGUAAACGAUGAGUGCUAAGUGUUAGGGGGUUUCCGCCCCCCCCUUAGUGCUGCAGCUAACGCAUUAAGCACUCCGCCCUGGGGAGUACGGCCGCAAGGCUG